Picea glauca (white spruce) is the source of this 74-nucleotide non-coding RNA. Lineage: Eukaryota; Viridiplantae; Streptophyta; Pinopsida; Pinales; Pinaceae. The record is from Rfam.
GGCCGCAUAGCGUAGUGGAUUAGCGGGUUUGACUUCAGAUCAAAAGGUCGUGGGUUCAACUCCCACUAUGGUCG